CCGACGGUGAGGGGUGAAAGCUGGGGGAGCAAACCGGAUUAGAUACCCGGGUAGUCCCAGCUGUAAACGAUGCGCGUUAGGUGUGUCAGUGACCACGUGUCACUGAUGUGCCGAAGGGAAACCGUGAAACGCGCCGCCUGGGGAGUACGGUCGCAAGGCUGAAACUUAAAGGAAUUGGCGGGGGAGCACCACGACGGGUGGAGCCUGCGGUUUAAUCGGACUCAACGCCGGAAAUCUCACCGGAUAA
Molecule: ribosomal RNA, 247 nt
Filed under: uncultured archaeon
Lineage: Archaea
Description: partial 16S ribosomal RNA
Rfam family: Archaeal small subunit ribosomal RNA
Source: RNAcentral